Molecule: long non-coding RNA, 921 nt
Organism: Trematomus bernacchii (emerald rockcod)
Lineage: Eukaryota; Metazoa; Chordata; Actinopteri; Perciformes; Nototheniidae
Exons: 4
Source: RefSeq, a predicted model, not a curated record
CACUGCAGUUUGUCAGAGAUCAGCUGUUCUGCUCUGGCCUCAGCUCUGAAGUCCAACAUCCAUCUGAGAUAUCUGAACCUGUGGAGCAACGGUCUGCAGGAUUCAGAUGUGAAGCUGCUGAGAGAUCUUCUGGAGAGUCCAGACUGCAGACUGGAGACUCUCGGGAUCGGACAUGGACAAGGAGAGACGUUCAGAGCCACGAUCCAGAAGACCUGUGACAGGAAGUGAAGACACACAGAAAGUUUAUUCAUCACGGGGCGAGUUUGAGACGUGAAGAGGAGCGUGGAGGCAUUUUGGAAAAUAAAGAAGAAGGCUGCAGCUGAUGAGAGACUUCCUGUUGGCUCUCCUCAAUAUGAAAUGAACAAAAACAAUCAAUUGUACUUAAAGCUUUUCUUAAGAAGAAAGAUGUGUUGCACAUACACCUGCUGCUACCUACCACCACCUCCCACCCAUCCCGGCCCCAAAGAGGAGACUCCAUCGACCCCAGAUACCCCAACUCACUCUUCUUCAGGUUAGCUUGGAGCCCCGCCUUUACCUGCCCCAACACCUCACUUUGAACGAUGUAGUCAUCCGGAUAUCUGCAUACUGAGAGUGGGACGCAGGAGCCGGUCAAUGAGCUGCUGGAAGGGGGUCCACUGGACUGGAGGGGCUCUUGGAUCUGGUGAUGCCUUGCUCUUCCUGAAAGGGGAGGACACCUAUCUGCCAUAGUUUCUCCACCUGACGACUGAGUUCGGCAUCGGGGGUUCCAGUUGGGGUGAAGAGACUCUGGGGGGCAUCCGAUGGCUCCUGAAUAGGGGGGGCCCUUGGAGUGUCCAACCUAAUGAUAAGAAUAAGAAUAAGAAUAAUGCAUUUUAUUUGUAAAGCACCUUUCAUUGCUAAAAGUCAUCUCAAAGUGCUACAAGGGGCAUCAUAUACUUCUUU